CCUACGGGAGGCAGCAGUGAGGAAUAUUGGUCAAUGGGAGAGAUCCUGAACCAGCCAAGCCGCGUGAGGGAAGACGGCCCUAUGGGUUGUAAACCUCUUUUGUCGGAGAACAAAACCCGGGACGUGUCCCGGACUGCGUGUAUCCGACGAAAAAGCAUCGGCUAACUCCGUGCCAGCAGCCGCGGUAAUACGGAGGAUGCGAGCGUUAUCCGGAUUUGUUGGGUUUAAAGGGUGCGUAGGCGGUCCGUUAAGUCAGCGGGAAAAUUGAGGGGCUCAACCCCGUCGAGCCGUUGAAACUGGCAGACUUGAGUUGGCGAGAAGUACGCGGAAUGCGCGGUGUAGCGGUGAAAUGCAUAGAUAUCGCGCAGAACUCCGAUUGCGAAGGCAGCGUACCGGAGCCAGACUGACGCUGAGGCACGAAAGCGUGGGGAUCGAACAGGAUUAGAUACCCUGGUAGUC
This 459-nucleotide ribosomal RNA is filed under the name uncultured bacterium. RNAcentral describes it as "partial 16S ribosomal RNA". It matches the Rfam family "Bacterial small subunit ribosomal RNA", at positions 338 to 795 of the family's 1533-position model. The record is from RNAcentral.